AUUGAACGCUGGCGGCAUGCCUAACACAUGCAAGUCGAACGGCAGCACAGCAGUAGCAAUACUGUGGGUGGCGAGUGGCGGACGGGUGAGGAAUACGUCGGAAUCUGCCCAGUCGUGGGGGAUAACUAGCCGAAAGGUUAGCUAAUACCGCAUACGACCGAGAGGUGAAAGCGGGGGGCCGCAAGGGCCUCGCGCGAUUGGAUGAGCCGACGUCGGAUUAGCUAGUUGGCGGGUAAAGGCCCACCAAGGCGACGAUCCGUAGCUGGUCUGAGAGGAUGAUCAGCCACACUGGAACUGAGACACGGUCCAGACUCCUACGGGAGGCAGCAGUGGGGAAUAUUGGACAAUGGGCGCAAGCCUGAUCCAGCAAUGCCGCGUGUGUGAAGAAGGCCUUCGGGUUGUAAG
This 405-nucleotide ribosomal RNA is filed under the name uncultured bacterium. RNAcentral describes it as "bacterial SSU rRNA". It matches the Rfam family "Bacterial small subunit ribosomal RNA", at positions 29 to 429 of the family's 1533-position model. The record is from RNAcentral.